UACGAAGGGGGCUAGCGUUGCUCGGAAUCACUGGGCGUAAAGGGUGCGUAGGCGGGUCUUUAAGUCAGGGGUGAAAUCCUGGAGCUCAACUCCAGAACUGCCUUUGAUACUGAAGAUCUUGAGUUCGGGAGAGGUGAGUGGAACUGCGAGUGUAGAGGUGAAAUUCGUAGAUAUUCGCAAGAACACCAGUGGCGAAGGCGGCUCACUGGCCCGAUACUGACGCUGAGGCACGAAAGCUAGGGGAGCAAACGGG
This 253-nucleotide ribosomal RNA is filed under the name uncultured bacterium. RNAcentral describes it as "partial 16S ribosomal RNA". It matches the Rfam family "Bacterial small subunit ribosomal RNA", at positions 524 to 776 of the family's 1533-position model. The record is from RNAcentral.